RNAcentral lists this ribosomal RNA (556 nucleotides) under Hepatozoon sp. JPM-2014. Its description in RNAcentral is "bacterial SSU rRNA". It matches the Rfam family "Eukaryotic small subunit ribosomal RNA", at positions 359 to 917 of the family's 1831-position model. Lineage: Eukaryota; Apicomplexa; Hepatozoidae. The record is from RNAcentral.
GGUUAACGGGGGAUUAGGGUUCGAUUCCGGAGAGGGAGCCUGAGAAACGGCUACCACAUCUAAGGAAGGCAGCAGGCGCGCAAAUUACCCAAUUCUAACAGUUUGAGAGAGGUAGUAACAAGAAAUAACAAUACAAGGCAGUUAAAAUGCUUUGUAAUUGGAAUGAUAGAAAUUUAAACCCUUUUUAAAGUAUCAAUUGGAGGGCAAGUCUGGUGCCAGCAGCCGCGGUAAUUCCAGCUCCAAUAGCGUAUAUUAAAAUUGUUGCAGUUAAAAAGCUCGUAGUUGAAGUUCUGCURAAAGUAACCGGUCUGCUUUUAAUAAAAGUGGUAUCUUGGUAUGUAUUUAGCAAUGAUGUCCUUUGAAGUGUUUUUUACUUUAUUGUAAUAAAGCAUAUUCAGGACUUUUACUUUGAGAAAAUUAGAGUGUUUCUAGCAGGCUGACGCUUUGAAUACUGCAGCAUGGAAUAAUAAGAUAGGAUUUUAGUUCUACAUUAUUGGUUUUAAGAGCUAAAUUAAUGAUUGAUAGGGACAGUUGGGGGCAUUUGUAUUUAACUGUC